Molecule: ribosomal RNA, 528 nt
Filed under: uncultured bacterium
Lineage: Bacteria
Description: bacterial SSU rRNA
Rfam family: Bacterial small subunit ribosomal RNA
Source: RNAcentral
CUUGACAUCCAGCGAACUUGGCAGAGAUGCCUUGGUGCCUUCGGGAACGCUGAGACAGGUGCUGCAUGGCUGUCGUCAGCUCGUGUUGUGAAAUGUUGGGUUAAGUCCGCAACGAGCGCAACCCUUAUCCUUUGUUGCCAGCGAUUCGGUCGGGAACUCAAAGGAGACUGCCGGUGAUAAACCGGAGGAAGGUGGGGAUGACGUCAAGUCAUCAUGGCCCUUACGAGUAGGGCUACACACGUGCUACAAUGGCGCAUACAAAGAGAAGCGACCUCGCGAGAGCAAGCGGACCUCAUAAAGUGCGUCGUAGUCCGGAUCGGAGUCUGCAACUCGACUCCGUGAAGUCGGAAUCGCUAGUAAUCGUGGAUCAGAAUGCCACGGUGAAUACGUUCCCGGGCCUUGUACACACCGCCCGUCACACCAUGGGAGUGGGUUGCAAAAGAAGUAGGUAGCUUAACCUUCGGGAGGGCGCUUACCACUUUGUGAUUCAUGACUGGGGUGAAGUCGUAACAAGGUAGGCGUAGACGU